This is a long non-coding RNA of Thunnus maccoyii (southern bluefin tuna), 585 nucleotides long. RefSeq lists it as uncharacterized. The record is from RefSeq and is a predicted model, not a curated record. Lineage: Eukaryota; Metazoa; Chordata; Actinopteri; Scombriformes; Scombridae. The transcript has 3 exons.
ACAUCAUUCAACUUAUCUUGAAUUGAAAGGGCUCUUACAUGAGCUGAAGUUAAGAAUGGCAAACUGUACAUCAAUCUGUGCUCUCUGUGUAGAGCACUGGUCCGCAGGCACCGUCCUGCGGUUGGGAGCUUGCAAAGCAAGCCUUGCAGGGGGAGACUGUCCAGUGCCCUGUGGACCAGGAAGGUGUGGCCAGGUUGCAGCUGGACAUGGCAAUGUCCCUGCUGAAUGACACAGCUCGUUCAGUGUUACAUCAGGACUUCUCAGUGAGGAUCAUCAGCUACAUAACACCCCUAAAAGACAACAUCAACCUCAACAACAAGAUCGACAUCAGCUCAGGAGAAGGUCAACCACCAGUCGAGAUAAUCAUAAGACUCAUACAACGCAACAUACCGCAGCAGAGGAGAAAACGACGGAUUUGAGAGAGAAGAUUUGUUCUGCAGGUUACGCAGGAAGACAGACAGACAGAGAGACAGUAAGAGGAGAUAAAUCAGAGUCAGACAGCUGUAGUCAGCAGGCAGAGUGAUGGAGAGGAAACUAUUGGUCAACUUCCCUUCAGCUCAGUGUGUGUGUGUGUGUGUGUGUGUG